GACGAACGCUGGCGGCGUGGAUUAGGCAUGCAAGUCGAACGGUAUCAUCCUUUCGGGGGUGAGAGAGUGGCGAACUGGUGAGUAACACGUAGGUUAUCUACCCUCAAGACGGGGACAACCCAGGGAAACUUGGGCUAAUACCGGAUGUGAGCAACUUUUAGUUGUUUGAAAGGUGGCGUAAGCUGUCGCUUGGGGAUGAGCCUGCGUCCUAUUAGUUAGUUGGUGAGGUAACGGCUCACCUAGGCAAUGAUAGGUAGGCGGCCUUAACGGGUGGUCGCCCACACUGGGAUUGAGAUACGGCCCAGACUCCUACGGGAGGCAGCAGUCGAGAAUAGUCUACAAUGGUCGGAAGACUGAUAGUGCGACGCCGCGUGAACGAUGAAUCCCUUCGGGGUGUAAAGUUCUUUUAUAUGUGAGCAGUGCUUCUUAUAUUAACAGUAUGGGGAAGAGAUAUUAGCAUAUGAAUAAGCAACGGCUAACUCCGUGCCAGCAGCCGCGGUAAUCUCG
RNAcentral lists this ribosomal RNA (507 nucleotides) under uncultured bacterium. RNAcentral's name for it is "bacterial SSU rRNA". It matches the Rfam family "Bacterial small subunit ribosomal RNA", at positions 28 to 527 of the family's 1533-position model. The record is from RNAcentral.